Molecule: ribosomal RNA, 234 nt
Filed under: uncultured bacterium
Lineage: Bacteria
Description: partial 16S ribosomal RNA
Rfam family: Bacterial small subunit ribosomal RNA
Source: RNAcentral
GAUGAAACGCUAGCGGCAGGCUUAACACAUAGGCAAGGUCGAGGGGGCAGCACGAGGUAGCAAUACUUUGGUGGCGACCGGCGCACGGGUGCGUAACGCGUAUGCAACCUACCUUUAACAGGGGCAUAACACUGAGAAAUUGGUACUAAUUCCCCAUAACAUUCGAGAAGGCAUCUUCUUGGGUUAAAAACUCCGGUGGUUAAAGAUGGGCAUGCGUUGUAUUAGCUAGUUGGU